RNAcentral lists this transfer RNA (86 nucleotides) under Emticicia oligotrophica DSM 17448. RNAcentral describes it as "tRNA-Met (CAT) (tRNA-Met-CAT-2-1)". Lineage: Bacteria; Pseudomonadati; Bacteroidota; Cytophagia; Cytophagales; Leadbetterellaceae. The record is from RNAcentral.
GUUGCAUAAAAAUUGAUAAAUAUGUAUAAGUGUAUAGCAACUGACUCAUAAUCAGUAGGUGCCUGGUUCGAUCCCAGGUGGGCCCA